GACGAACGCUGGCGGCGUGCUUAACACAUGCAAGUCGAACGGAAAGGCGCUGCUUUUGUGGGGGGCUCGAGUGGCGAACGGGUGAGUAACACGUGAGUAACCUGCCCUGGACUUUGGGAUAACUUCAGGAAACUGGGGCUAAUACCGGAUAGGAGCUCCUGCGGCAUUGGGGGGGUGGGAAAGGGUCGGCGGUUGGGGAUGGACUCGCGGCUUAUCAGCCUGUUGGUGGGGUAGUGGCUUACCAAGGCUUUGACGGGUAGCCGGCCUGAGAGGGUGACCGGCCACAUUGGGACUGAGACACGGCCCAGACUCGUACGGGAGGCAGCAGUGGGGAAUAUUGCACAAUGGGCGGAAGCCUGAUGCAGCGACGCCGCGUGCGGGAUGACGGCCUUCGGGUUGUAAACCGCUUUCGCCUGUGACGAAGCGUGAGUGACGGUAAUGGGUAAAGAAGCACCGGCUAACUACGUG
Molecule: ribosomal RNA, 468 nt
Filed under: uncultured bacterium
Lineage: Bacteria
Description: partial 16S ribosomal RNA
Rfam family: Bacterial small subunit ribosomal RNA
Source: RNAcentral